UACGUAGGGGGCAAGCGUUGUCCGGAUUUAUUGGGCGUAAAGAGCUCGUAGGCGGCUUGGCAAGUCGGGUGUGAAAACUUCAGGCUCAACCUGGAACGGCCACUCGAUACUGCCAUGGCUUGAGUCCGGUAGGGGACCACGGAAUUCCUGGUGUAGCGGUGAAAUGCGCAGAUAUCAGGAGGAACACCAGUGGCGAAGGCGGUGGUCUGGGCCGGAACUGACGCUGAGGAGCGAAAGCGUGGGUAGCAAACAGG
Molecule: ribosomal RNA, 254 nt
Filed under: uncultured bacterium
Lineage: Bacteria
Description: partial 16S ribosomal RNA
Rfam family: Bacterial small subunit ribosomal RNA
Source: RNAcentral